This 39-nucleotide ribosomal RNA is filed under the name Cladonia cervicornis. RNAcentral's name for it is "partial 28S ribosomal RNA". RNAcentral also lists the same sequence under 2 other names. Lineage: Eukaryota; Fungi; Ascomycota; Lecanoromycetes; Lecanorales; Cladoniaceae. The record is from RNAcentral.
CAGGUAGGGAUACCCGCUGAACUUAAGCAUAUCAAUAAG